GCGGGAGUGGCGGAAUGGCAGACGCGCCAGACUUAGGAUCUGGUGUCUUCGGACGUAGGGGUUCAAGUCCCCUCUCCCGCACCA
Molecule: transfer RNA, 84 nt
Filed under: Planosporangium flavigriseum
Lineage: Bacteria; Bacillati; Actinomycetota; Actinomycetes; Micromonosporales; Micromonosporaceae
Also listed under: 5 other names
Description: tRNA-Leu
Rfam family: tRNA
About the family: Transfer RNA (tRNA) molecules are approximately 80 nucleotides in length. Their secondary structure includes four short double-helical elements and three loops (D, anti-codon, and T loops).
Source: RNAcentral